RNAcentral lists this transfer RNA (78 nucleotides) under Caudoviricetes sp. RNAcentral's name for it is "tRNA-Met". It matches the Rfam family "tRNA". From Rfam's summary of the family: Transfer RNA (tRNA) molecules are approximately 80 nucleotides in length. Their secondary structure includes four short double-helical elements and three loops (D, anti-codon, and T loops). Further hydrogen bonds mediate the characteristic L-shaped molecular structure. tRNAs have two regions of fundamental functional importance: the anti-codon, which is responsible for specific mRNA codon recognition, and the 3' end, to which the tRNAs corresponding amino acid is attached (by aminoacyl-tRNA synthetases). tRNAs cope with the degeneracy of the genetic code in two manners: having more than one tRNA (with a specific anti-codon) for a particular amino acid; and 'wobble' base-pairing, i.e. permitting non-standard base-pairing at the 3rd anti-codon position. The record is from RNAcentral. Lineage: Duplodnaviria; Heunggongvirae; Uroviricota; Caudoviricetes.
GGAACGAUAGCACAACUGGUCAGUGCGCUCGGCUCAUAACCGAGAUUAUGAUUUUGGGUUCGAUUCCCUCUCGUUCCA